This 449-nucleotide ribosomal RNA is filed under the name uncultured bacterium. RNAcentral's name for it is "bacterial SSU rRNA". It matches the Rfam family "Bacterial small subunit ribosomal RNA", at positions 402 to 842 of the family's 1533-position model. The record is from RNAcentral.
UGGGUGAAGAAGGUCUUCGGAUCGUAAAACCCUGUUGUUAGAGAAGAAAGUGCGUGAGAGUAACUGUUCACGUUUCGACGGUAUCUAACCAGAAAGCCACGGCUAACUACGUGCCAGCAGCCGCGGUAAUACGUAGGUGGCAAGCGUUAUCCGGAUUUAUUGGGCGUAAAGGGAACGCAGGCGGUCUUUUAAGUCUGAUGUGAAAGCCUUCGGCUUAACCGGAGCAGUGCAUUGGAAACUGGGAGACUUGAGUGCAGAAGAGGAGAGUGGAACUCCAUGUGUAGCGGUGAAAUGCGUAGAUAUAUGGAAGAACACCAGUGGCGAAAGCGGCUCUCUGGUCUGUAACUGACGCUGAGGUUCGAAAGCGUGGGUAGCAAACAGGAUUAGAUACCCUGGUAGUCCACGCCGUAAACGAUGAAUGCUAAGUGUUGGAGGGUUUCCGCCCUUCA